CGUAACAAGGUCUCCGUAGGUGAACCUGCGGAGGGAUCAUUACACAAAUAUGAAGGCGGGCUGGAACCUCUCGGGGUUACAGCCUUGCUGAAUUAUUCACCCUUGUCUUUUGCGUACUUCUUGUUUCCUUGGUGGGUUCGCCCACCACUAGGACAAACAUAAACCUUUUGUAAUUGCAAUCAGCGUCAGUAACAAAUUAAUAAUUACAACUUUCAACAACGGAUCUCUUGGUUCUGGCAUCGAUGAAGAACGCAGCGAAAUGCGAUAAGUAGUGUGAAUUGCAGAAUUCAGUGAAUCAUCGAAUCUUUGAACGCACAUUGCGCCCUUUGGUAUUCCAAAGGGCAUGCCUGUUCGAGCGUCAUUUGUACCCUCAAGCUUUGCUUGGUGUUGGGCGUCUUGUCUCUAGCUUUGCUGGAGACUCGCCUUAAAGUAAUUGGCAGCCGGCCUACUGGUUUCGGAGCGCAGCACAAGUCGCACUCUCUAUCAGCAAAGGUCUAGCAUCCAUUAAGCCUUUUUUUCAACUUUUGACCUCGGAUCAGGUAGGGAUACCCGCUGAGCUUAAGCAUAUCA
Molecule: ribosomal RNA, 570 nt
Filed under: uncultured fungus
Lineage: Eukaryota; Fungi
Description: eukaryotic LSU rRNA
Rfam family: 5.8S ribosomal RNA (bases 208-361)
Source: RNAcentral